Molecule: long non-coding RNA, 533 nt
Organism: Gasterosteus aculeatus aculeatus (three-spined stickleback)
Lineage: Eukaryota; Metazoa; Chordata; Actinopteri; Perciformes; Gasterosteidae
Source: Ensembl
UGCACCAAAACUUAGUUUGAACAAAAAAGGGUUGGAAAACUAUUCACAAACCAUGAUACCAUCAUGAAAAGGAUAAAUGUACUUUCCUGAGGUGCUAGUUUUAGGAAAACACUGUUAACCAAUGCAUUCUUGUGUUCUGUGCGUUUUCAGCUUUCUCUCGGCCUGCAAACGCCUUAAUCGUCAAGAUUGCACCAAAACUUAGUUUGAACAAAAAAGGUUGGAAAACUAUUCUCAAACCAUGAUACCAUCAUGAAAAGGAUAAAUGUACUUUCCUGAGGUGCUAGUUUUAGGAAAACACUGUUAACCAAUACAUUCUUGUGUUCUGUGCGUUUUAAGCUUUCUCUCGGCCUGCAAACGCCUUAAUAGUCAUGAAUGCACCAAAACUUAGUUUGAACAAAAAAGGUUGGAAAACUAUUCUCAAACCAUGAUACCAUCAUGAAAAGGAUAAAUGUACUUUCCUGAGAGGCUAUUUUAGGAAAACACUGUUAACCAAUGCAUUCUUGUGUUCUGUGCGUUUUCAGCUUUCUCUCGGC